GACGAACGCUGGCGGCGUGCCUAAUGCAUGCAAGUCGCACGCAGCACCUUCGGGUGCUGAGUGGCGCACGGCUGAGGAUCACGUGGGAACAUGCCUCCUUGUGGGGGACAACACCGCGAAAGCGGUGCUAAUCCCGCAUACGCUCGGUAACGAGGAAAGCGUGCAAACGCGCAGGGAGAGUGGCCCGCGGCCCAUCAGGUCGUUGGUGGGGUAAGGCCUACCAAGCCGGUGACGGGUAGCUGGUCUGUGAGGACAGACAGCCAGACUGGGACUGAGACACGGCCCAGACUCCUACGGGAGGCAGCAGCAAGGAAUUUUUCGUCAAUGGGCGCAAGCCUGAACGAGCAACGCCGCGU
RNAcentral lists this ribosomal RNA (356 nucleotides) under uncultured bacterium. Its description in RNAcentral is "bacterial SSU rRNA". It matches the Rfam family "Bacterial small subunit ribosomal RNA", at positions 28 to 402 of the family's 1533-position model. The record is from RNAcentral.